AUUGAACGCUGGCGGCAGGCUUAACACAUGCAAGUCGAACGGUAGCAGGAGAAAGCUUGCUUUCUUGCUGACGAGUGGCGGACGGGUGAGUAAAUGCUUGAGAAUCUGGCUUAUGGAGGGGGAUAACUACGGGAAACUGUAGCUAAUACCGCGUAAUAUCGAAAGAUUAAAGUGUGGGACCUUCGGGCCACAUGCCAUAAGAUGAGCCCAAGUGGGAUUAGGUAGUUGGUGGGGUAAAGGCCUACCAAGCCGACGAUCUCUAGCUGGUCUGAGAGGAUGACCAGCCACACUGGAACUGAGACACGGUCCAGACUCCUACGGGAGGCAGCAGUGGGGAAUAUUGCGCAAUGGGGGGAACCCUGACGCAGCCAUGCCGCGUGAAUGAAGAAGGCCUUCGGGUUGUAAAGUUCUUUCGGUAUUGAGGAAGGGAUGUGUGCUAAUAGUAGACAUCAUUGACGUUAAAUACAGAAGAAGCACCGGCUAACUCCGUGCCAGCAGCCGCGGUAAUACGGAGGGUGCGAGCGUUAAUCGGAAUAACUGGGCGUAAAGGGCACGCAGGCGGUUAUUUAAGUGAGGUGUGAAAGCCCCGGGCUUAACCUGGGAAUUGCAUUUCAGACUGGGUAACUAGAGUACUUUAGGGAGGGGUAGAAUUCCACGUGUAGCGGUGAAAUGCGUAGAGAUGUGGAGGAAUACCGAAGGCGAAGGCAGCCCCUUGGGAAUGUACUGACGCUCAUGUGCGAAAGCGUGGGGAGCAAACAGG
This 760-nucleotide ribosomal RNA is filed under the name uncultured Haemophilus sp. RNAcentral describes it as "bacterial SSU rRNA". It matches the Rfam family "Bacterial small subunit ribosomal RNA", at positions 28 to 776 of the family's 1533-position model. Lineage: Bacteria; Pseudomonadati; Pseudomonadota; Gammaproteobacteria; Pasteurellales; Pasteurellaceae. The record is from RNAcentral.